UACGUAGGUGGCAAGCGUUGUCCGGAUUUACUGGGCGUAAAGCGUAUGCAGGCGGACCGUUAAGUAGGAAGUGAAAGGUUGGGGCUCAACUCUAACACUGCUCCCUAUACUGGCGGUCUUGAGUGGCGGAGAGGAAGACGGAACGACACGUGUAGCGGUGAAAUGCGUUGAUAUGUGUCGGAACACCAAUGGCGAAAGCAGUCUUCUGGACGCAAACUGACGCUGAGAUACGAAAGCCAAGGUAGCAAACAGG
Molecule: ribosomal RNA, 253 nt
Filed under: uncultured bacterium
Lineage: Bacteria
Description: partial 16S ribosomal RNA
Rfam family: Bacterial small subunit ribosomal RNA
Source: RNAcentral